Molecule: ribosomal RNA, 1459 nt
Filed under: uncultured bacterium
Lineage: Bacteria
Description: bacterial SSU rRNA
Rfam family: Bacterial small subunit ribosomal RNA
Source: RNAcentral
UGAACGCUGGCGGCGUGCUUAACACAUGCAAGUCGAACGAAGCAAUCUAACGGAAGUUUUCGGAUGGAAGUUAAAUUGACUGAGUGGCGGACGGGUGAGUAACGCGUGGGUAACCUGCCUCACACUGGGGGACAACAGUUAGAAAUGACUGCUAAUACCGCAUAAGCGCACAGGACCGCAUGGUCCGAUGUGAAAACAACCGGUGGUGUGAGAUGGACCCGCGUUUGAUUAGCUAGUUGGUGGGGUAACGGCCUACCAAGGCGACGAUCAAUAGCCGACCUGAGAGGGUGACCGGCCACAUUGGGACUGAGACACGGCCCAAACUCCUACGGGAGGCAGCAGUGGGGAAUAUUGCACAAUGGGGGAAACCCUGAUGCAGCGACGCCGCGUGAGUGAAGAAGUAUUUCGGUAUGUAAAGCUCUAUCAGCAGGGAAGAAAAUGACGGUACCUGACUAAGAAGCCCCGGCUAACUACGUGCCAGCAGCCGCGGUAAUACGUAGGGGGCAAGCGUUAUCCGGAUUUACUGGGUGUAAAGGGAGCGUAGACGGUAAAGCAAGUCUGAAGUGAAAGCCCGGGGCUCAACCCCGGGACUGCUUUGGAAACUGUUUAACUAGAGUGCUGGAGAGGUAAGCGGAAUUCCUAGUGUAGUGGUGAAAUGCGUAGAUAUUAGGAGGAACACCUGUCUCGAACUCGGCUUACUGGACAGUAACUGACGUUGAGGCUCGAUAGCGUGGGGAGCAAACAGGAUUAGAUACCCUGGUAGUCCCACGCCGUAAACGAUGAAUACUAGGUGUUGGGGGACAAAGUCCUUCGGUGCCCGUCGCAAACGCAAUAAGUAUUCCACCUGGGGAGUACGUUCGCAAGAAUGAAACUCAAAGGAAUUGACGGGAACUCCGCACAAGCGGUGGAGCAUGUGGUUUAAUUCGAAGCAACGCGAAGAACCUUACCAAAUCUUGACAUCCCUCUGACCGGCGAGUAAUGUCGCCUUUCCUUCGGGACAGAGGAGACAGGUGGUGCAUGGUUGUCGUCAGCUCGUGUCGUGAGAUGUUGGGUUAAGUCCCGCAACGAGCGCAACCCUUAUCCUAAGUAGCCAGCAGUUCGGCUGGGCACUCUUGGGAGACUGCCAGGGAUAACCUGGAGGAAGGUGGGGAUGACGUCAAAUCAUCAUGCCCCUUAUGAUUUGGGCUACACACGUGCUACAAUGGCGUAAACAAAGAGAAGCGAGACCGCGAGGUGGAGCAAAUCUCAAAAAUAACGUCUCAGUUCGGACUGCAGGCUGCAACUCGCCUGCACGAAGCUGGAAUCGCUAGUAAUCGCGAAUCAGAAUGUCGCGGUGAAUACGUUCCCGGGUCUUGUACACACCGCCCGUCACACCAUGGGAGUCAGUAAUGCCCGAAGUCAGUGACCCAACCGUAAGGAGGGAGUUGCCGAAGGCAGGACCGAUAACUGGGGUGAAGUC